AACGUACUCCCUCCGUCCGAAAAUACUUGUCAUCAAAAUGGAUAAAAAGAUAUGUGUCUCAAACUAAAAUAUGUCUAGAUACAUCCCAUUUUAUUCAUUUUGAUGACAAGUAUUUCUGGACGGAGGGAGUACUAA
Non-coding RNA from Triticum aestivum (bread wheat), 135 nucleotides. The record is from Rfam. NCBI's taxonomy places the organism in Eukaryota, Viridiplantae, Streptophyta, Magnoliopsida, Poales, Poaceae.